This 490-nucleotide ribosomal RNA is filed under the name Pseudomonas fluorescens. RNAcentral describes it as "bacterial SSU rRNA". It matches the Rfam family "Bacterial small subunit ribosomal RNA", at positions 8 to 494 of the family's 1533-position model. Lineage: Bacteria; Pseudomonadati; Pseudomonadota; Gammaproteobacteria; Pseudomonadales; Pseudomonadaceae. The record is from RNAcentral.
AGAGUUUGAUCCUGGCUCAGAUUGAACGCUGGCGGCAGGCCUAACACAUGCAAGUCGAGCGGUAGAGAGGUGCUUGCACCUCUUGAGAGCGGCGGACGGGUGAGUAAUGCCUAGGAAUCUGCCUGGUAGUGGGGGAUAACGCUCGGAAACGGACGCUAAUACCGCAUACGUCCUACGGGAGAAAGCAGGGGACCUUCGGGCCUUGCGCUAUCAGAUGAGCCUAGGUCGGAUUAGCUAGUUGGUGGGGUAAUGGCUCACCAAGGCGACGAUCCGUAACUGGUCUGAGAGGAUGAUCAGUCACACUGGAACUGAGACACGGUCCAGACUCCUACGGGAGGCAGCAGUGGGGAAUAUUGGACAAUGGGCGAAAGCCUGAUCCAGCCAUGCCGCGUGUGUGAAGAAGGUCUUCGGAUUGUAAAGCACUUUAAGUUGGGAGGAAGGGCAUUAACCUAAUACGUUAGUGUUUGGACGUACCGACAGAAUAAGCACC